RNAcentral lists this ribosomal RNA (497 nucleotides) under uncultured bacterium. Its description in RNAcentral is "partial 16S ribosomal RNA". It matches the Rfam family "Bacterial small subunit ribosomal RNA", at positions 28 to 507 of the family's 1533-position model. The record is from RNAcentral.
GACGAACGCUGGCGGCGUGCCUAAUACAUGCAAGUCGAGCGAACGGACGAGAAGCUUGCUUCUCUGAUGUUAGCGGCGGACGGGUGAGUAACACGUGGACAACCUACCUAUAAGACUGGGAUAACUUUGGGAAAUCGGAGCUAAUACCGGAUAAUAUUUUGCACUGCAUGGUUCAAAAGUGAAAGACGGUCUUUCUGUCACUAAUAGAUGGAUACGCGCUGCAUCAGCUAGUGGGUAAGGUAACGGCUUACCAACGCAACGAUGGAUAGCCGACCUGAGAGGGUGGUCCGCUACCCUGGAACAGAGGAACAGUCCACACACCUACAGGAGGCAGCGGUAGAGAAUCUUCCGCGAUGGACGAGAGCGUGACAGUGCAACGCCGCGUAAGUGAUGAAGGUCUUCUGAUCGUUGAACUCUGUAGUUAGGGAGGAACAUAUGUGUAAGUAACUGUGAACAUCUUGACGGUACCUAAACAAAAAGCCACGGCUAACUACGUG